RNAcentral lists this ribosomal RNA (761 nucleotides) under uncultured bacterium. Its description in RNAcentral is "bacterial SSU rRNA". It matches the Rfam family "Bacterial small subunit ribosomal RNA", at positions 28 to 776 of the family's 1533-position model. The record is from RNAcentral.
GAUGAACGCUAGCUACAGGCUUAACACAUGCAAGUCGCGGGGUAACAUCUGGUAGAGCUUGCUCUUCCAGGAUGACGACCGGCGCACGGGUGAGUAACGCGUAUCCAACCUGGCCCAUACCACGGGAUAGCCCGUCGAAAGGCGGAUUAAUACCGUAUGCUGUCAUUAAGAUGCAUAUAUUGAUGACGAAAGGACUGGCGGUAUGGGAUGGGGAUGCGUCUGAUUAGCUUGUUGGCGGGGUAACGGCCCACCAAGGCGACGAUCAGUAGGGGUUCUGAGAGGAAGGUCCCCCACAUUGGAACUGAGACACGGUCCAAACUCCUACGGGAGGCAGCAGUGAGGAAUAUUGGUCAAUGGGCGCAAGCCUGAACCAGCCAAGUAGCGUGAGGGAAGACUGCCCUACGGGUUGUAAACCUCUUUUGUUUGGGAAUAAAGUGCGGGACGCGUCCCGCAUUGCAUGUACCAUUUGAAUAAGGACCGGCUAAUUCCGUGCCAGCAGCCGCGGUAAUACGGAAGGUCCGGGCGUUAUCCGGAUUUAUUGGGUUUAAAGGGAGCGCAGGCCGUGGGUUAAGCGUGUCGUGAAAUUCCGUCGCUCAACGGCGGACGUGCGGCGCGAACUGGUCCACUUGAGUACGCGGGACGUUGGCGGAAUUCGUGGUGUAGCGGUGAAAUGCUUAGAUAUCACGAAGAACUCCGAUUGCGAAGGCAGCUGACGGUAGCGCAACUGACGCUGAGGCUCGAAAGUGCGGGUAUCGAACAGG